GAUGAACGCUGGCGGCGUGCCUAAUACAUGCAAGUCGAGCGAACGGACGAGAAGCUUGCUUCUCUGAUGUUAGCGGCGGACGGGUGAGUAACACGUGGAUAACCUACCUAUAAGACUGGGAUAACUUCGGGAAACCGUAGCUAAUACCGGAUAAUAUUUUGAACCGCAUGGUUCAAAAGUGAAAGACGGUCUUGCUGUCACUUAUAGAUGGAUCCGCGCUGCAUUAGCUAGUUGGUAAGGUAACGGCUUACCAAGGCAACGAUGCAUAGCCGACCUGAGAGGGUGAUCGGGCACACUGGAACUGAGACACGGUCCAGACUCCUACGGGAGGCAGCAGUAGGGAAUCUUCCGCAAUGGGCGAAAGCCUGACGGAGCAACGCCGCGUGAGUGAUGAAGGUCUUCGGAUCGUAAAACUCUGUUAUUAGGGAAGAACAUAUGUGUAAGUAACUGUGCACAUCUUGACGGUACCUAAUCAGAAAGCCACGGCUAACUACGUG
Molecule: ribosomal RNA, 497 nt
Filed under: uncultured bacterium
Lineage: Bacteria
Description: partial 16S ribosomal RNA
Rfam family: Bacterial small subunit ribosomal RNA
Source: RNAcentral